UUGGAGGGCAAGUCUGGUGCCAGCAGCCGCGGUAAUUCCAGCUCCAAUAGCGUAUAUUAAAGUUGUUGCAGUUAAAAAGCUCGUAGUUGAAUUUCGAGAUCAGUACGCUGGUCGUGCCUUCGGUAUGCACUGGUGUCACUGGUUUCUCCCUUCUGAAGAACCGUCAUGUCAUUAAGUUGGUGUGGCGGGGAAUCAGGACUGUUACUUUGAAAAAAUUAGAGUGUUUAAAGCAGGCUCGCGCUUGAAUACAUUAGCAUGGAAUAAUGAAAUAGGACGUUUGACCCUAUUUUGUUGGUUUCUAGGAUCGACGUAAUGAUUAAUAGGGAUAGUUGGGGGCAUUAGUAUUCAAUUGUCAGAGGUGAAAUUCUUGGAUUUAUUGAAGACUAACUACUGCGAAAGCAUUUGCCAAGGAUGUUUUCAUUAAUCAAGAACGAAAGUUAGGGGAUCGAAGACGAUCAGAUACCGUCGUAGUCUUAACCAUAAACUAUGCCGACUAGGGAUCGGAUGAUGUUAAUGUUUUAAUGACUCAUUCGGCGCCUUACGGGAAAC
RNAcentral lists this ribosomal RNA (549 nucleotides) under uncultured Glomeromycotina. Its description in RNAcentral is "SSU rRNA". It matches the Rfam family "Eukaryotic small subunit ribosomal RNA", at positions 548 to 1098 of the family's 1831-position model. The record is from RNAcentral. Lineage: Eukaryota; Fungi; Glomeromycota.